Molecule: ribosomal RNA, 903 nt
Filed under: uncultured fungus
Lineage: Eukaryota; Fungi
Description: eukaryotic LSU rRNA
Rfam family: Eukaryotic small subunit ribosomal RNA (bases 1-242)
Source: RNAcentral
UUGCUCUUCAACGAGGAAUUCCUAGUAAGCGCAAGUCAUCAGCUUGCGUUGAUUACGUCCCUGCCCUUUGUACACACCGCCCGUCGCUACUGCCGAUUGAAUGGUUAUAGUGAGCAUAUGGGAUCAGUAGGUUUCGACUGGCAACAGUCUCUUCCUGCCGAAAACUAUGGCAAACUAGAUUAUUUAGAGGAAGUAAAAGUCGUAACAAGGUUUCCGUAGGUGAACCUGCGGAAGGAUCAUUAAAUAAUUUUAAUUUUAUUUCUUCGCGAAAUAUUAUUAUAUAUUUUACUGUGAACUGUAUUAUUUCAUGACGCUUGAGGAAUGCUUCUGCUGUACCAUAAUGGACAGGUCAGCGAAGAUGUUAACCGAGUCGUGGUCAAGCUUAGGCUUGGUGUCCUUAAUUAUUAUUAUCCAAAAGAAUUCAUUUUAAAAAUAUUUUAAUAUGGGCGUAAAAAACUCAUUAAAACAACUUUUAACAACGGAUCUCUUGGUUCUCGCAUCGAUGAAGAACGUAGCAAAGUGCGAUAACUAGUGUGAAUUGCAUAUUCAGUGAAUCAUCGAGUCUUUGAACGCAUCUUGCGGUCAAUGGUAUUCCAUUGACCACGCCUGUUUCAGUAUCAAAAACUACCCCACAUUUAUAAUUUUUUUAGUUAUAGAUGGGCAUUGAGAGUUUACCGGUGGAUUUUUUUCCAUGGGUUCUCUUUAAUAUCACCUGGCAGAAGGAAUUGACUGUAUGUUCGUGGAUGCCCAUUAAACCUUUUAAUUAAAAGAUUUUCUUGGGCACUUAAAGUCUGCGGGCAACUACACAGUUGAAACUAGAGGCCUCCAAAAUAAAAUUUUAAAAUUUGAUCUGAAAUCAGGCGGGAUUACCCGCUGAACUUAAGCAUAUCAAUAAGCGGAGGA